UCUGCAACUUUUUCUCUGGACAGGUCUUGAUGAAUCUCCCCCAUUGAGGCUGCCAGAGCCGCAGUGAUCUGUGUAAGAAACCUAUGGGCCCAGGCUGUUAGGGCCACCAAAUGAUAUUACAAAUACUGAGUGUCUGGUUAGGAGAAACAAAUAUAAUGUACCCACAGGGAGUAGCGCCAUUUUAAUAAAAAUUGCCAAAAAUCCCUGAGAUAAGUCAUGCAGAAUAUGUUAAAAAGGUUUUUGGAUUUCCAGCCAAUCAGAAAGCAACACUACUAGUUUUUUGUUUUUUUUCAGCCAAUCAGAAAGCAGCACUACUCAAAUAGAACUCCUGUGAGGUCACACAUGUGAUGUCAUAACCAUUGUCAUUGGUGAGGGGCCUAAACUGUAGGAACCUAGCAAUACACAUUCAUACCCGCCUGUGACUGAUGCACACCUUCCAGGCUGUGGAGGAGCACAUACACUGACACUUUGCCCAAAUUCUAGAGGUAACCUCCUUUAGUAUGCCCAGAGGAAGGGCAGUACAGUAGCCAUGGAUUCCCUACAGGUUUCCUCCCCUCUGGAGGUUUUUCCUGUCCUGAGUUAGUUACUGUCCGCUCUUUGUGAGUGAUGGAGGUUACAUAAAAUCCCUACACAAACAUUUUUGUAAAUAAUAAAUAAAGUUCCCUUUGUUUAAACCGUU
Molecule: long non-coding RNA, 679 nt
Organism: Hyla sarda
Lineage: Eukaryota; Metazoa; Chordata; Amphibia; Anura; Hylidae
Exons: 2
Source: RefSeq, a predicted model, not a curated record